UACGAAGGGGGCUAGCGUUGCUCGGAAUCACUGGGCGUAAAGCGCACGUAGGCGGCUUUCUAAGUCAGGGGUGAAAUCCUGGAGCUCAACUCCAGAACUGCCUCUGAUACUGGGAAGCUCGAGUCCGGAAGAGGUGAGUGGAACUGCGAGUGUAGAGGUGAAAUUCGUAGAUAUUCGCAAGAACACCAGUGGCGAAGGCGGCUCACUGGUCCGGUACUGACGCUGAGGUGCGAAAGCUAGGGGAGCGAACAGG
Molecule: ribosomal RNA, 253 nt
Filed under: uncultured bacterium
Lineage: Bacteria
Description: partial 16S ribosomal RNA
Rfam family: Bacterial small subunit ribosomal RNA
Source: RNAcentral